GUAGGGUGCAAGCGUUAAUCGGAAUUACUGGGCGUAAAGCGUGCGCAGGCGGUUCUGUAAGACAGAUGUGAAAUCCCCGGGCUCAACCUGGGAAUUGCAUUUGUGACUGCAGGACUAGAGUUCAUCAGAGGGGGGUGGAAUUCCAAGUGUAGCAGUGAAAUGCGUAGAUAUUUGGAAGAACACCAAUGGCGAAGGCAGCCCCCUGGGAUGCGACUGACGCUCAUGCACGAAAGCGUGGGGAGCAAACAGGAUUAGAUACCCUGGUAGUCCACGCCCUAAACGAUGUCUACUGGUUGUUGGGGUUUUUUAACCUUGGUAACGAAGCUAACGCGUGAAGUA
RNAcentral lists this ribosomal RNA (339 nucleotides) under uncultured bacterium. RNAcentral describes it as "bacterial SSU rRNA". It matches the Rfam family "Bacterial small subunit ribosomal RNA", at positions 527 to 866 of the family's 1533-position model. The record is from RNAcentral.